This 102-nucleotide non-coding RNA is filed under the name Bacillus sp. (in: firmicutes). RNAcentral's name for it is "Bacillus sp. Guanine sequence". It matches the Rfam family "Purine riboswitch aptamer". Rfam says of the family: Riboswitches are metabolite binding domains within certain messenger RNAs that serve as precision sensors for their corresponding targets. Allosteric rearrangement of mRNA structure is mediated by ligand binding, and this results in modulation of gene expression. A class of riboswitches that selectively recognises guanine and becomes saturated at concentrations as low as 5 nM. The record is from RNAcentral. Lineage: Bacteria; Bacillati; Bacillota; Bacilli; Caryophanales; Bacillaceae.
UAAGUGAUUAACGUUAAACCUCAUAUAUAAUUGGGAAUAUGGCCCAGAAGUUUCUACCCGUUGACCGUAAAUCAUCGGACUAUGAGGGAAAGUGUACGUAUA